RNAcentral lists this ribosomal RNA (445 nucleotides) under Klebsiella sp. enrichment culture clone M2H2 10. RNAcentral's name for it is "bacterial SSU rRNA". It matches the Rfam family "Bacterial small subunit ribosomal RNA", at positions 29 to 471 of the family's 1533-position model. The record is from RNAcentral. Lineage: Bacteria; Pseudomonadati; Pseudomonadota; Gammaproteobacteria; Enterobacterales; Enterobacteriaceae.
CAUGGACGCUGGCGGCAUGGCCUACACAUGCCAGUCGAACGGUAGCACAGAGAGCUUGCUCUCGGGUGACGAGUGGCGGACGGGUGAGUAAUGUCUGGGAAACUGCCUGAUGGAGGGGGAUAACUACUGGAAACGGUAGCUAAUACCGCAUAACGUCGCAAGACCAAAGAGGGGGACCUUCGGGCCUCUUGCCAUCAGAUGUGCCCAGAUGGGAUUAGCUAGUAGGUGGGGUAACGGCUCACCUAGGCGACGAUCCCUAGCUGGUCUGAGAGGAUGACCAGCCACACUGGAACUGAGACACGGUCCAGACUCCUACGGGAGGCAGCAGUGGGGAAUAUUGCACAAUGGGCGCAAGCCUGAUGCAGCCAUGCCGCGUGUAUGAAGAAGGCCUUCGGGUUGUAAAGUACUUUCAGCGGGGAGGAAGGCGAUAAGGUUAAUAACCUUG